CGCCAGAACAAAGUUUUCACAUCAACAGGAAAACUAGUUACCUCAGAUUACAAGAAUUUUAUUAUGCUACAAGUCAAGAGAUGACCGGUGAAAUAUAUCCUAUGCCUCUCGGUCCCGUCUGAAUGUUGCUGCGCUCAAUCUUAUUCCCACGCCAAGUCGAUAACUGACCGACCCCCACCCACUAGAUGAUCCACAGUCUCAAGAUGUAAGGUAGGUCGGUGAUAGCAAACAAUUAUAGAUUUCACGUGUCCUUAAAUGUUCAUACGGACCAUGGCCAAGUUUGUCCAAUCUAAUUUUUCUACACACAUCCCACAGCAUAAAAAUUAAAAAUUCAAAUGAUCUGGACUGACGCGAGGGCACACUGAAAAGAUGAAUCCCACUACAAGUUGAAACAAGAUUGCACAAGACACCCGGAUUUUACAUUCUGGGAUAGGAACAAAACGUCAUACAUACGAUAUUUUCGAAAAAAUACACGGUUUACCUCUUCAAAAUGUUAUUAUACACCCACUAAAUCACGCCCAAUACAUAUAGUCUCAGAUUUUAUGCACAACUGAAAAACCGCCUGUGCAAUAUGAUUGGGCAAGACGCUAUCAUAUUUACAUCCAAGCUCCCCAUCCAGCAAACAUUUGACAUAAGCGCUCUGGAUCAAUAGCAUCUUGUAUGAGCUGUUGAACCUGUCCAUGUACACUUCUCAAUUCACCUUCUUCAUAUCCAUCUAGUUUUUGCUUGACACGCAUCAGUGCACGUGCAGCAUCUUUAUUCCCUUCAUAUUCAUCUUGCGAGUCAUCCAAACAUGUAUCCAGAUCAUCAUCCAUUUCCUAAUCAGCAGUAAAUGAACAAAGGGGGGAAAAAAGGAAUCACAUGAGCACUAAUAUGGUCAUCUCACAAACACUAAAUGUACUUUAUUGCAACAAAUUCAAGUGUAUAUGGAAAGAUAUGGAACCCCUAGUAGUGCAGGAAGGCAAUUUGGGCUGGAGUAAAUAGAAAAAAAAAAUUGCAGUUGAAGAUAACAAUUAAUGAAUGUUAUAUGAAACACAUGCCCUCAUGAAGAGGCAAACCAUUAACCAAAGACAAAAAAUACAUGAGUGCGGGCGUUGCUAGUUUCAUCCACAAAUUUCCCACAAUGUCCUGUCAAAACUAGCAGUGAAGACUUUUGGUAUGGCACAUUUUACAGAGCAGUUGUCUGCUCUAAACAACUAGGAUCCAAGCUGUGAAAGUGACAAGGCCUCUGAAGUACCAUGUUAUUUUGCACAAACGCUUGCAUUUUCAUUUUAUAGAAUUUGUUUUGACAAAAAAAAUUCCAUGUUCAUUCGUUAGUAUGAUGUUCUUUUUGUUUCAACAACUUUUAUAACUAUAGGUGGAAAAUCCAUGCAUAUCCUAGAAAAUAUUGUUUAAAUAUAUCUAAUGACUCAGAGUAGAUGCUUAAGAUGAGAGGAAAAGGUUGAUAUGUAGAAAUACCUUUUGGCGCUGCAAGGCUUUUAGAGGGGAUAAAGCCCAUUUAUACAAUGGGUCAUGAAUAAAUACCUGCAGUAUACUCACAUGUUAUAAUGAAAUAUAAAAGGGAAUACAAUUUACUUUCAAAUGUUGUUCUGCAAAGCAAUUAUACUUCAACAAUGGUUAGUAGAGCUUCUUUAUUUGUUCGCAUAACAGCAAGAGUUUCUUCACAACAUCUUCUGAAGACCCCUUCUACUCCAGUAACACCCAUGCCAUCAAUUAUGUCUCUUGUCAAUCUGAACGGAACCUGCCACAGUUCAAAGAAGACACUAAGAAAUUAUUAAUAAAGCAAACAAUCUGAAAAGGAAAGAAAAUGCUAGGACUGCACACAAACCCGCUCUGGGGUCUUAAGCAUCAAGCCUUGUUCAAAAGCAACACCAAGAUCUAUGUGAACAACUUGUGCAGUGGUUUGAUCAAUCAAGAUAUUCAUGGAAUGUCUGUCACCGAGGCCAACAAUAUAACCCACCUGAAAAUUAAACCAAAAUUUACAAACCACUGCAAUAUUGUGGCAUUGAGAACUAAUUUACUUCAGUAAGAAGAGAUGCAGGUAAUUCCAAUUUUGUAACAUUGUGAGGCAACUACAUUUAAAAAUAAUUAUCAAGAUGAGUUUUUCAGUAAACUAUUCCAUCUCUUCAAGCUUAUAGUACAUGUCAAGUGGAGUAUUUCUUCAUAUGAAGACAACACAUUUUAUGUCUAUAAUCAUCACAAGCUCCUUUGCUAAAAAAUAAAUGAAAAAGAUUGUUCUGGAUAGAGGAAAAGAAAAAGAACAGAGAACAAGCCAACAACAAUGCUUAAUUUUUGAAAGAUAAGACAUAAUGAAUAAUGUAAUAGAAAGAGUAGAACAAUAACCAUGGAGCUCGCAGCCACGCUACGUGUGUAUGCAAGUCUCUUCUCAAACCAGUCAGCUGGUUGCAAAAAUCUCUCCAGAAAAAAGUGAUGCAUGACAGGUCUGAAGUUCUCACAAAUUUCCUGGAAUGCUUUACGCUUGUCCUUUUCAUUUGAUAUAUGCUCUCUGCAUUUGAGAAAUGACCAGUCUCCAAUUCCAUACCGACCAUGGGCACCACCAUUUCUUGUGCUUGCUAUAAGAUAUUCCCCAAGAGGAAGAGUGCCAUUAACCCAUUCAAGAACGCCAGCACUUGGAGUAAAAGGAAUUACCUUGUACGUACGCACUCCUAAUCUUCUCUUCCAUGUAUCUCUAUUAUUCUGUAAAAAGGUGUUAACCAGACCAAAAAAUUGUUCCAUAACAGCAUCUUGUCUAAGGUCAUCAUUUCCAGAUUUUGCUAGCUGUCGAUAUUUUCUACCAUCAGAACCAAGGCAUUCAACCACUUUUGGGGCAUUAAUUCCAUUCAUUAUCAUAACCGAAUCUGCUAAGCCUUUGAAGUAUGGGAAGGAACCAUCAUGAUAUUUGCAAUUACGAUCAACUGGAAAACUAGCUGUCACUACAGGUACAAGUUCUAGCUGUCGAACACUGCGGAUUUCUCGUGGUAGUGCCACCCGUUUGUUGGUAUCCUCUCUCUGCGUUUCAAGCUCUGCAAGCUUGAUAUAGAUCUCAACCAUUUGUUUCAUUUGUUCAAUAACAGGACCAUGGUAUAAUGUUAAUUCAUCCAGAAGAGUUCUUGCUGAAAGUAUUUUAUCCAUAUCAACCACAAAUGAGUUUCUACUCCGCUGUUUGUCCUUGAUUCGAUCACCAUUUGCAAGAGCUAGAAGCUGAAAAAUUGUAUGGUAAGGAUGAUCCACAGCCAUUUUCUUCACAAGGGAAACCAAAGCAAACUGAAAAUUGUGAGGUCCCCCACCAUCCUUUGAGCUCCCCAUUCUUGAAGCAAUCUGAUAAACUAAUGGGACAAAUUUAUAUGACUGAACCUCAUUAAUAGUGUUAAUCAUGUUAUUGAUGACAUUUUGUUUAGAGGAGAGACUGAACCAAAGGGAAACAAGUCGAAACACCACCCGUACAUCAUAUUUGUCACCUAUGACCAGACAAUGCUUGUAUCCCUCCAAAGCAAGGUUGAGAAAAUUGUCCCUGUCAACCUGCAGUUUUUCAGCCUCUUCCUUGUCCAUUGUAAGUUGUUUCUGUAACUCUUGUAUUUUCACUGAAUAGUCAGUCUUGUCCCCCUUUGAUGAACUCUUUAGGCGCCUAAGAAGUGCCUCCAACUCCAAUGUCUUGUGUUUCCUUAAACGCAUUGCUGCUUGCCAUUCACUAGAAGUUAGUCUUUCCUCAUAGGACCUAAAUAGAGCAUCUGCAUAGUGUGCAAGAUUGAAAUAAGUUUGGCUUUGUCUUUCUAUGGACUUUUUGUCAACAGUUUUCUGAUCCUCAGCCAGAGAAACUGCAGGUUUCAGAUACUUCUCUAAGAUGGUUCUUGAGCUGCUGGAUCUUGUUUCUGCCAGCCACUUUCCAACUAAGCGAUACACAUCUGAAGCUCCUUCAUUUGAGUGACAAUUUUGAGAGAUAUAUUUUGCAAGGCUAAUAGCCAUCUCAUCCUGACCUUGUGCUCGUAAUAACUUUGCUUCUUCAAGCCUUCCAAGCCAAUACAAAGACAAAUGCUGUUCCCCUGUACUAACACAAAGAAACUUAAACUCAUGCAACGCUGCAGCAGAUUGAGAAAACCUAGAACCCUUACGAAGAGUAGAUGCAGACUGCAAAAGAUGUUUCAUCGAACACUCAUUACAGCCCAGGAUCUGAAGUAAAACUCGCCUGAAAGCUAUGAAUGGUUCUAGCAAAUUCAUAUGGAGCUGUGUUCGUUCCAAAACGUUGUCCCAAUCCUUAUUCAACCAUGAUAACUGCUCCAUGGUAGGGAACACAGGUUCUGGAAAACUUUGUUGCUUCUUAUGGAAAAAUUCUGUCAUUUCAUGUGGAGACGCUGUCCAUCGUAUAUUCCAUGCCAUCCCAAGAUGAUAAAGAAUCUGAAGUUUAAUAACUGUUGAAUAGAUGUAUUCAGUGCUCUCCUCACUUGCACAAGAGACAGACCACACAAGCUCCAGCUUUGAAUCUUUCAGUUUUUUGUGAAGUUCACCAAAAUCUCCCUCUUGCAAUGCCCUCAAACAACUGUGCAAAUUUUCAUUGAAAUGGUCAGUUUUAACAUUUUGACCUGAAGAAGAAUUGCCUCCAUGGACAAGCAAAGAGAAAUCCCAAUUCCCUGCACGCCAAGCAGCCUCAUACUGCAAUUCUGUGAACUCUAAAUCCUGCUGAAACUGGCCCAUCCGAGAAGUCAAUCCCUGGCAAUACAACUCUAGCAAAUGUGUACAGCCAAUUUGUUGAAGAGAUCUAAUCAGACCUUUGUAAGGUUUCCUUAGCCUCAUCUCAUCUUUUGAUUCAGAGACGAAUAGGUGGGCUGCUGAUUGGGUAUGCUCCACUGAUAAAGUUCUAGAUCCACCAUUCAUUUCCAGCAUAGUAUUUGCACGUACUUGUUGGUCAUAGUACUCAAGGGCCUUGCUCCAGUUCCCCUCAUGCUCAAAGGUAACAACUUGAGAUGUCAACUUGUGUGACUGAAUGAUCCCAUAUAAGCUGUCAGGUUCAUUGAUUUGAGUGACUGCUGAGACAAGUACUUCAAUGUGAUCUGGUAACACCUCAACAUGAGCGAAAUCUGGAUGCCCUAGUGUGAGGCUAUUGAAAUGUUCUUCGCACCAGUACUCCACAUACAUCAUAGAGGUAAAGUAUGACCCACAAAUAACUGCUGACUUAGCAACACGAAGGUAAUCAAUGUUUAGCCAAUAAACCUUGUCCCAUGAAGAUGUAAACAUUGCCAUUGCGCUUGAUGUAGCUAUAGAAUCUCUAGCCUUUGCAGAGAUGGAACGUGAUUUAGAGCCAUAACUAGAAGGCUUAGCAUGCUUGGAACUUUCUCGCUUUGAUGGUACAGAAGAUCUUUCAAGCACAUAACAUAACCGAAGCUUGUUAAGUGCAUUCAAGAAGACUUGAAUUGAUUUUAUCAACUUAUUAGAGUCUGUUAAUAUAUGCUCCUGCACCUGCAAACAUAUUAGUUUGUGAAGAUCCAUGUCCAUAUUCUUCCUUCCCGCUAGAUCUUCAAUAACACUUGGCAGCAGAAGCUCAGCAACUUCAGCUUUUAACAACACAAUAUCUUGACAUAACCUCAGAAUGACAUCAUUGUUGUAGCCAAUGAGUGAGUAUACAAGAGGGCAAAUCCACAUCUCAAAGGUUUUAUUUUGUGUUUCCCAUAUAGUAGGCUUCUCUAGUGGAAUUGCUUCAGCUCUAAACCUUUUCUCCAGAUCCAAAAGAAAAUUCUCCACCAACUCGGGAUUGACACCCUUGGAAUGAAUCUCAAUAAGAGAUCUUUCAUAAGAAUCAAAAGACAAUACAGCUCUUUGGCCCCUUUCAGUUGAAAGUAUUCCCCGAAGAGCUUGAGAUGUCAAAUCAACUAUUCUUACAGAAUCAUCCAUUAGAUACUUCUUCAUAAGUUUCAAAAGCGUAAUAAGUAGUUCUUCAGAUAUGAUUGCAUCCAUGUUAAAAUUGGUUUGAGUAGGGUUGUCAUCAGCUGUGGGUUUGCAAACUUUAAUGUCACUAGACUCUCCAGGUAGAUGGAAAACAACACCAUGUGGGUCCCCAAUGCCAACCCUAGAAAUGAAAUCAGACAUCAAUGUUCUAAUACUACUUGCAUCAUCUGAACCACACAUGCGAACAACUGUCCAGACAGCCUUAACAAUUUCCGGGUCAGAAUGCCAAGGUAUAUCCUCCAUAUUGUCUCUUUUAUUCCUUUCCCCUUCAAAAUAUUCGCCCAUGAGCAACUUCUUGUGUAGUGCUUGGACACUGCAUAAAAGUAACCUUGGUGGAAGGUAACAUGAUCUCUUCACAAACUUCAAUAAGUGGUCCCUUGGAGAAUAGGCUUGGCAUAACUCCUGAUGGAACUCUCGCACCUCAUUAAAAAUAUCUAUCUCAGGGAAGGGUUCCAACUCUUUGACAUAAUCAUGGAGAGAUAUAUCAGAUUCCACAGUUAGUUGGAGAAGCAAAGACAUGACCUGAGAUGAUGUAGUGCCAGAAAGCUCUCCAAUAGUUUUAGAGGGAAUGCAACAUGCCACCAACUUUGAAACCAAAAACUGAAGCUGUUCACCUAGCACUCUAACAACUUCUUUGGAGGGGUUGCUUUUAAAUGUUUUGAGCAAUGCAGAAAUUACUCGACAACAUUGGUCUUGUAAAUCAUGACAAUCAAUGAAUAGCCCUAUCAAACUAAAAAGAUAGUUGGAAGUGCUAGAAACAGCAGCUCUGUGCCCAAGAAUAUCUAUAAGCACCUCAAUUCCAGCCAACUUAUGACGUCUAUGCCUGUGAUGAACUGCUCCGGCUAUUUUAUAAUGCAUUUCUACUAUAAACAUGAAAACUCUAUCUGGCCGAAAAAUGUUAAUAUUGUCAAGAACAGCUACACUUGUAGGAUAAUCCUCCAUUUCCAAAAAUCCAUCCACAACUGUUUGAACUGCACGUGCUACUGUUUCUCUAGAAAAGAAAGGGCCUGCAGGAUCAGAUGCACAAGAAACAAGAGACAAGAUGUGGCUCACAAUUGAUACCUACAUAUACAUAGAGAUUUUAAAAGAUUAUGUUUAGAAUCCAAUGCAAAAAAAUAGUCAAUUCAGAGAAGCAACAAGAAAUGAAAAAUAACUAUUCGUACAAAAGUUAAGAAUAAAACCAGCACAAACAAAAAUGUUUCACAAAUUAAACUAAAGCAGGUGAAAUGCAAGAGACAAGUGGACAAAUAUAUAUUUUUGCCCAAAUAUCUGUUCAUCAAUGGCGUGUUCAUAUCAGAUAAAAAUAUACCUCAGACGUUGCCCAACAUGCAAGCAUUAUUCCUUGAAAAUAUGAUAGGUUUAGACUAAAUCUGGUUAACUUGCUUAAAAGUUGUAAUUUUCUUGGAAACAAAUGUAAUAAUAAGAAAGUGUACUUUAUAUAUAUAUAGUAGAAAUCUUGAAUCAAAUUUCAUU
RNAcentral lists this unclassified non-coding RNA (7410 nucleotides) under Hevea brasiliensis (rubber tree). Lineage: Eukaryota; Viridiplantae; Streptophyta; Magnoliopsida; Malpighiales; Euphorbiaceae. The record is from RNAcentral.